Molecule: non-coding RNA, 28 nt
Filed under: Cricetulus griseus (Chinese hamster)
Lineage: Eukaryota; Metazoa; Chordata; Mammalia; Rodentia; Cricetidae
Also listed under: 1 other name
Source: RNAcentral
GACUUGUUGGGGAAACUUUAGUAAGGGU